GGAGAUAUAGCUCAAUAAGGGAGAGCACCGGCCGAAAAUGCUAUAGGUAAGUAGGACGGAGGUUGGAGGUUCGAAUCCUUUUAUCCCCACCA
RNAcentral lists this transfer RNA (92 nucleotides) under Siphoviridae sp. ct16M3. RNAcentral's name for it is "tRNA-OTHER". It matches the Rfam family "tRNA". Rfam says of the family: Transfer RNA (tRNA) molecules are approximately 80 nucleotides in length. Lineage: Duplodnaviria; Heunggongvirae; Uroviricota; Caudoviricetes. The record is from RNAcentral.